AGGCACUGCACUUUCAACCUGAAUGUCCUUCACUGUGGUCAUUCACAAAGGUCAAAAGUAGUGCAAGAGCAUGUCUUGUCAUAACUGGAGUUUCUUGGCAAUUUUCCCAAGUCUCUCUUUUAAAGCAAGAAACAAUA
This 137-nucleotide small nucleolar RNA is filed under the name Labrus bergylta (ballan wrasse). Lineage: Eukaryota; Metazoa; Chordata; Actinopteri; Labriformes; Labridae. The record is from RNAcentral.